This 1363-nucleotide ribosomal RNA is filed under the name Salmonella enterica subsp. enterica serovar Enteritidis. Its description in RNAcentral is "partial 23S ribosomal RNA". It matches the Rfam family "Bacterial large subunit ribosomal RNA", at positions 1538 to 2875 of the family's 2925-position model. The record is from RNAcentral. Lineage: Bacteria; Pseudomonadati; Pseudomonadota; Gammaproteobacteria; Enterobacterales; Enterobacteriaceae.
AAAUCCGGUUCACUUUAACACUGAGGCGUGACGACGAGGCACUACGGUGCUGAAGCAACAAAUGCCCUGCUUCCAGGAAAAGCCUCUAAGCAUCAGGUAACAUCAAAUCGUACCCCAAACCGACACAGGUGGUCAGGUAGAGAAUACCAAGGCGCUUGAGAGAACUCGGGUGAAGGAACUAGGCAAAAUGGUGCCGUAACUUCGGGAGAAGGCACGCUGACACGUAGGUGAAGUGAUUUACUCAUGGAGCUGAAGUCAGUCGAAGAUACCAGCUGGCUGCAACUGUUUAUUAAAAACACAGCACUGUGCAAACACGAAAGUGGACGUAUACGGUGUGACGCCUGCCCGGUGCCGGAAGGUUAAUUGAUGGGGUCAGCGCAAGCGAAGCUCCUGAUCGAAGCCCCGGUAAACGGCGGCCGUAACUAUAACGGUCCUAAGGUAGCGAAAUUCCUUGUCGGGUAAGUUCCGACCUGCACGAAUGGCGUAAUGAUGGCCAGGCUGUCUCCACCCGAGACUCAGUGAAAUUGAACUCGCUGUGAAGAUGCAGUGUACCCGCGGCAAGACGGAAAGACCCCGUGAACCUUUACUAUAGCUUGACACUGAACAUUGAGCCUUGAUGUGUAGGAUAGGUGGGAGGCUUUGAAGUGUGGACGCCAGUCUGCAUGGAGCCGACCUUGAAAUACCACCCUUUAAUGUUUGAUGUUCUAACGUGGACCCGUUACCCGGGUUGCGGACAGUGUCUGGUGGGUAGUUUGACUGGGGCGGUCUCCUCCUAAAGAGUAACGGAGGAGCACGAAGGUUGGCUAAUCCUGGUCGGACAUCAGGAGGUUAGUGCAAUGGCAUAAGCCAGCUUGACUGCGAGCGUGACGGCGCGAGCAGGUGCGAAAGCAGGUCAUAGUGAUCCGGUGGUUCUGAAUGGAAGGGCCAUCGCUCAACGGAUAAAAGGUACUCCGGGGAUAACAGGCUGAUACCGCCCAAGAGUUCAUAUCGACGGCGGUGUUUGGCACCUCGAUGUCGGCUCAUCACAUCCUGGGGCUGAAGUAGGUCCCAAGGGUAUGGCUGUUCGCCAUUUAAAGUGGUACGCGAGCUGGGUUUAGAACGUCGUGAGACAGUUCGGUCCCUAUCUGCCGUGGGCGCUGGAGAACUGAGGGGGGCUGCUCCUAGUACGAGAGGACCGGAGUGGACGCAUCACUGGUGUUCGGGUUGUCAUGCCAAUGGCACUGCCCGGUAGCUAAAUGCGGAAGAGAUAAGUGCUGAAAGCAUCUAAGCACGAAACUUGCCCCGAGAUGAGUUCUCCCUGAGACUUAAAGUCUCCUGAAGGAACGUUGAAGACGACGACGUUGAUAGGCCGGGUGUGUAAGCG